Molecule: ribosomal RNA, 253 nt
Filed under: uncultured bacterium
Lineage: Bacteria
Description: partial 16S ribosomal RNA
Rfam family: Bacterial small subunit ribosomal RNA
Source: RNAcentral
UACGUAGGUGGCAAGCGUUGUCCGGAAUUAUUGGGCGUAAAGCGCGCGCAGGCGGCCUCUUAAGUCUGAUGUGAAAGCCCACGGCUCAACCGUGGAGGGUCAUUGGAAACUGGGGGACUUGAGUGCAGGAGAGAAGAGUGGAAUUCCACGUGUAGCGGUGAAAUGCGUAGAGAUGUGGAGGAACACCAGUGGCGAAGGCGACUCUUUGGCCUGUAACUGACGCUGAGGCGCGAAAGCGUGGGGAGCAAACAGG